Long non-coding RNA from Thunnus maccoyii (southern bluefin tuna), 270 nucleotides. RefSeq lists it as uncharacterized. The record is from RefSeq and is a predicted model, not a curated record. NCBI's taxonomy places the organism in Eukaryota, Metazoa, Chordata, Actinopteri, Scombriformes, Scombridae. The transcript is spliced from 2 exons.
CCUCAUCUCAAUAAUCAAGACUUCUACAAAUACUCAGCCCUGCCACUUCCACUCUGCCAGAUUGUAGCCUCUGCAUCAUCCUGUCUGCUGUGCUUCCAGCCCCUGUCUCCAGCCCCUCGUAUCAUCAGCCCUGCCUCCCUGCCCUGGAUUCCCACUCUUCCUAGUUUCCAGCCCAAGCCUCAGCCUCAGGUUCCCAGCUUCCAGCCCAAGCUUUCCCAAGUCUGCAUUCCUUUCCCCCAGCCUUCUCAAUAAAUACCUUUUGCUAUUAUA